Long non-coding RNA from Pogoniulus pusillus (Red-fronted tinkerbird), 484 nucleotides. RefSeq lists it as uncharacterized. The transcript has 2 exons. NCBI's taxonomy places the organism in Eukaryota, Metazoa, Chordata, Aves, Piciformes, Lybiidae. The record is from RefSeq and is a predicted model, not a curated record.
GAACAGCUGUUUCCCAUUCCUACCUCAUGACUACCUGAACAAUUACAGACAUCUGCAGCCUCAGGAGCAGCUGGGACCCUUUGCAGAGCCAUGCCAGCCAUCCCAUAGGGCUGGCUGCACAAUGCAGAGCAUAGGAAGGAUGGCAGAGGUAGGCACGGUUGCUGGCAGGAUGCUGUACCUAAGAGACACAUAAAAGAGGCUGUGAAGUGCAGAAGGGAGAGACUGCAGCAGCAGCAGAUUGACGCUCUUCGUUUUAAAUUAAAUCUGGCUGAAGAUGGAAUGCGUUAGAGUGGACAGCAGUGAUAAUAGAGACAGCUCCUUUCCUGUGUCUCUGUAUAAAUUAACUACCUUUAAGUGCUGUUUGGACAACAAAGCUUCAUCAGUUUUCCUCCUAGCUCCACAUAUGCUGCAAUAAUUACAAGCAUAACUUUAUUUACUGCUGGCAGCAGAAGUAUGAAUAAAUGAUGUCUCGUUGCUGUGGUCA